AGGCAGGUGCGGAUGGGACGUAGCGAACGGCGGUGGCAGAGGGGUGGGUACUGUAGAGGUGUACGGCGCACAUGGGGGAAACUAGGGUUCUGAAACCCUAGUUUUUCAUUGGGUUUGGGCUGUAUUUGGGCCUAUUGUUUGUAUUUGGGCUGGUCCAAUUAAUUUUGUAAUGUAAUUGGGCCGUUUGGGCUGAAGUUUGUUUUGCUGGUAGGAC
This 214-nucleotide long non-coding RNA is filed under the name Gossypium barbadense (sea-island cotton). Its description in RNAcentral is "long non-coding RNA (GBAR_LNC022395)". The record is from RNAcentral. Lineage: Eukaryota; Viridiplantae; Streptophyta; Magnoliopsida; Malvales; Malvaceae.